UUAUGAUGAUUUCCUUAGAUGACGAGUCUUAUUUGGGUUUCCAAUGCAGACACAAUCUUUUUCAUACCAUUCAUGCAUACCUGAUC
Molecule: small nucleolar RNA, 86 nt
Filed under: Phaeomoniella chlamydospora
Lineage: Eukaryota; Fungi; Ascomycota; Eurotiomycetes; Phaeomoniellales; Phaeomoniellaceae
Source: RNAcentral